UACGUAGGGGGCUAGCGUUGUCCGGAUUUAUUGGGCGUAAAGAGCGUGUAGGCGGCCAGAUAGGUCUGCUGUGAAAACUCGAGGCUCAACCUCGAGCUGUCGGCGGAAACCAUCCGGCUAGAGUCCGGAAGAGGAGAGUGGAAUUCCCGGUGUAGCGGUGAAAUGCGCAGAUAUCGGGAAGAACACCUGUGGCGAAGGCGGCUCUCUGGGACGGUACUGACGCUAAGACGCGAAAGCGUGGGGAGCAAACAGG
Molecule: ribosomal RNA, 253 nt
Filed under: uncultured bacterium
Lineage: Bacteria
Description: partial 16S ribosomal RNA
Rfam family: Bacterial small subunit ribosomal RNA
Source: RNAcentral